Molecule: ribosomal RNA, 628 nt
Filed under: uncultured fungus
Lineage: Eukaryota; Fungi
Description: LSU rRNA
Rfam family: Eukaryotic large subunit ribosomal RNA
Source: RNAcentral
ACCCGCUGAACUUAAGCAUAUCAAUAAGCGGAGGAAAAGAAACCAACUGGGAUUGCCCUAGUAACGGCGAGUGAAGCGGCAAUAGCUCAAAUUUGAAAUCUGGCUCCUUCUUGGGGUCCGAGUUGUAAUUUGCAGAGGGUGCUUUGGCAUUGGUAGCGGUCUAAGUUCCUUGGAACAGGACAUCGCAGAGGGUGAGAAUCCCGUUUGUGGUCGCUUGCCUUUGCCGUGUAAAGCCCCUUCGACGAGUCGAGUUGUUUGGGAAUGCAGCUCUAAAUGGGAGGUAAAUUUCUUCUAAAGCUAAAUACUGGCACGAGACCGAUAGCGCACAAGUAGAGUGAUCGAAAGAUGAAAAGCACUUUGGAAAGAGAGUCAAACAGCACGUGAAAUUGUUGAAAGGGAAGCGCUUGCAGCCAGACUUGCUUGUAGUUGCUCACCUAGGCUUUGGCCUGGGGCACUCUUCUAUAAGCAGGCCAGCAUCAGUUUAGGCGGUUGGAUAAAGCCCUCUGUCACGUAUCUUCCUUCGGGAUGACCUUAUAGGGGAGGCGACAUGCAACCAGCCUGGACUGAGGACCGCGCUUCGGCUAGGAUGCUGGCGUAAUGGCUGUAAGCGGCCCGUCUUGAAACACGG